UACUUUCAAAUUCGAUUAUCCCAUGGAAUUGAUUAUGUAACCAAACCUAUUAUUGACUGUAUAAAAACCUGGCCCAAGCUAAGUUUGGCACAAAGGGCACUUGAGAUGCCAAACGUGCCAUUACAUCACAUCACAUCACAUCACAUCACAUCACAUCAACAAGCUUAGUUUGUAUGUGAUCAAGAGGCGUGUGGUCGGCAUAUGGAUUCGGUCUUGUUGCAUGUAAUAAUAAAAGGACGGACAUUUGGUGCCUUCAACUUGCCGAGUCCGUGUUUUGUCACGUUGCGGAUGGCCGAAAAUUUGUUAAACGUUAAUGGCGGAAUAUCCAAAUCUACACAGCGUGAGCAAGGGGGCUGCGCAGGCACAGACCCGCUGGAGUGAAAGCUAAUAAGGAGAAAAUUAUGACGCUUCAGAAAAGGCGUUGCCGCAAGAUCGUCUGUACCUUCAGUUGCGUGGUUCGUCGGACGAAUGGCAGAGCACGUUAAAUUUUACCUUCACAAGUACAUUGUACGUCCUCGAGGCCUCGGUUCAACGUGUAGCGCUACACAGUCCGGUAAAUUGAACUUUUGAUAUGACCUAGAACAAAUUGCAAAUAGAAUUUAUUUUCAUGCUAUCACGCUAAGGAAUCUAAUUUCAUCAAAGGAGUGGAGUUGUUUUCGUUUUUUUUUCCUUCACUUUUUCGAUUCUAAUGUUUCAUCAUCCGUUAACAGUCAUAUGGAGGGCGUCAUGUUUUUGUUGCCUUGCUUACCUGUCAGAAUAUCCGUUCGCAUUCACGUAUGACAACUUCGCGAAACACGACUGACCACAGCAGACGACUUUCUUUGUCUAACAAUAAGGCCUGAGACGUAGUGACGUCAUACUUUGUAGUAGACGGACCCCACUUUAUCUGGCAACCCAACUUCGCUCCCAUAGGAAAGCGCACAUGUAAAACAAGCCAUUACGUCAUUACGUCUCAGGUCUAUUAAAUUUAACACUUGUUAUCAAAUACUACAGGAUAUUUCCUUGGAAAAAAAAAAAGAAAUUUGAUUAUAUUUUCCCGUCCCAACUAUUUAUUGGUUUCAAAUAAAUCUCGUUGUGCUCAAAUUAACCAUUUGUUUCAGGGAAAAUCCAUACAUGAAGAGAUCCAUUUAAAGUUAAAAUUUAAGUGUCUACGCCAAUAGGCCAGAGUCCGAUUUUAAUUAUUACGGAAAACAUCCAAAAUACCAGAUUCAUGUGAUCGUUUUGUGAUGAAUUUAGGUCGUUGGCAUAACGUAAAAGCAACCUAUACAUUUUAAAGAAUAAAUUUAUACUAAAAAAAAACCGCUGUGAUGACAAAUAAACUGGAUUACAACUUGCAGUGAAAAUUAAGCUGAAUUCUGGGCCUGGGCUUUGGAGAAAAGAAAUUAUUUUGAAAAUUUUGAUUAUUUUUGAAAACGUGCCGGGGGGGGGGGGUGUGGACCGUGCCUUUGAAAUAUUUUUUUAAGUAAUAACUUGCGGUCUGAUCCGAAGAACCAUUUCGUCGAGACUCCAGUAUAUGCUUUUCUUGAGUAGGCCUAGUGCAUUUAACUCUUGACGGGUACAAGCAGAUGACCCAAUCAAUUUUCAUACCUCGAACAGGAUCUUCAAAAUUUUGCUGUUUAAAUUACAAAAUGUACUUAUAAAAAAUGUGUUUCUCAUCAAUCUGAAAGACAUUUUUGUUAUAAUUGUGAUCAAAGUGUUUUGAGAUGUUUUGUUUCAUAUUUUCAAGUACUAACAGUACGUUUGUACUGUAAGCAACACAACCUUAGCCCAGUACACGUCUAAACUUUUUUUUUUUUUUUUUUUAAAUUUUCCGACGCAAUGUCGUCUGCUUGCACUCGCAACUGGUCAUGAAUCCUAAAACAUUCGCUUAUACAGGGUGUUUGUAAAAAAAGAAAAGAAAUGGAGCUUAUUUUGAUGAUUUCUCGAGUAUGACUAUUUAUUUAGGAAAAUGGAAACCACAACCUGUUACAUAACCAUGUCAUUUACCGUCUUUUUACUAAGUGAUGUAUCUGGCAUGCCAGAAAUGGCCUUGGAGCACACAUGCACCAUUAGACAAAUUGACAGUAGUUAGCAUGUUGAACAUAACAAAAUCCAGGACGUACAUACAUUAUUCAAAGUCAUUUAUUCAAUUGCCUCCGAAGUUCUCAUUGCUGUGAACACAUUCCUGAUAUCGUAUUGAGUCAAACUCGUUGAGCGAUACAAAAGAACAAAAGAACAUUCUAAGUGACAGGAUAGGGAACAAUAAAGUGAAAUUGUAGGUGUUGAACCUAUAGGUGACAUAUGACGUGAUAAAGAAAUGCAUUGGAAAUGUUGUACAUGUAACGUGUAUAGUACACACACUGUAGUGCUCAACUCAAAUUUAUGUUGAAAUCUUUCGGCAAAGUUUGUCAACCAUUUUUUUUCUAUCAAUCAAAUUAAAAACACAAGCAAAUCUCUGUUUCUUUGGAGCUCUAUCGUCGUAAUUGUAUUUGUUUAAUCAUCGAUAAAUAAAAAAAACUUAAACAAAAUAA
Long non-coding RNA from Patiria miniata (bat star), 2510 nucleotides. RefSeq lists it as uncharacterized. Lineage: Eukaryota; Metazoa; Echinodermata; Asteroidea; Valvatida; Asterinidae. The record is from RefSeq and is a predicted model, not a curated record. The transcript has 2 exons.